GUAAAGGCAAAAGAGAGCUUGAUUGCAAGACAUACAGGUCGAGCAAGGAUGAAAAUCGGACUUAGUGAUCCGGUGGUUCUGCGUGGAAGGGCCAUCGCUCAACGGAUAAAAGCUCCCCUGGGGAUAACAGGCUUAUCUCCCCCAAGAGUCCACAUCGACGGGGAGGUUUGGCACCUCGAUGUCGGCUCAUCACAUCCUGGGGCUGUAGUAGGUCCCAAGGGUUGGGCUGUUCGCCCAUUAAA
This 242-nucleotide ribosomal RNA is filed under the name Clostridioides difficile. Its description in RNAcentral is "partial 23S ribosomal RNA". It matches the Rfam family "Bacterial large subunit ribosomal RNA", at positions 2351 to 2592 of the family's 2925-position model. Lineage: Bacteria; Bacillati; Bacillota; Clostridia; Peptostreptococcales; Peptostreptococcaceae. The record is from RNAcentral.